RNAcentral lists this long non-coding RNA (5624 nucleotides) under Homo sapiens (human). RNAcentral's name for it is "HSALNT0385830". Lineage: Eukaryota; Metazoa; Chordata; Mammalia; Primates; Hominidae. The record is from RNAcentral.
GGCGCCGAGUGUCUCCGUGUCCCUCUGCCCCAGCCGGCGGCCGCGAUGGUGGAGCUUGGCCUCUCGCUCUCUCCCGCCUCUCCAGCGACUGCUCUGCCGGCCGCGGAGGUCGGAUCGAGCGGUCAUUCAUUCAUUUGUUAAUUCGUUCACUUAUUCAGGGGAGAUCAUUGAACCCCUACGGAGUACCGGGUACUGGGCCGGGCGCUGAGGACGCGGGGCUGAGCAAAAGCAGCCGAGGCCCACCUUCGUGCCCCUUAAAACCCAGCGUGCGGGGCGGCAACGAGUACUGCUUUUCUGUUUUGCACUUAAAAUUUACAUUUUGCAUCCGUACUUUUUAUUUACUGUGCACCCUUACGGCAUGCUUUACGCACCCGUACCUGCACCUCCUAGCCUUGAGUGUAGACACCAGAUCCUGAGAUGGGCGAUUUUUCGAGAAUAAUUUUUACCCUAAGUGGAUUUUCGUGCCACGCAUGGACUUGGAACUACACACACGUAGUCCAAAACGUGAAAGUCAAAAUGCAGCUUUGCCAAGUGGCAGGGAGAAAGGAGAGCUGAGAAGAUGAGGAGAGGAAGGGCGCGCUCCAGGCUUUCCAGCCCGGGUGCGGUAGACGUAGCCCUGAAGGAUGAACCCAGGCUGGUAGUAGGGCGGCGGGAGGGCGGGGGGACCUGUCAGUCAAGUCCAAAGCAGAAACGCGGCGCCGGAUCCCAGUCAGAGGCCGGCUGGAACGCUUCCCACAGGCUCCUGGCGCUCCGGUCCCCACCAGGCGACCUUGAUCCUGGCGUGCUCAGCGGAGCCAGCGCAGCGUCGGGAGCUGGAGAGACGCGGGGCGCCGGCUGAGCGCUCCUGCCCUCUGCCUCUGGGCUAGCCUCUGGCCCGGCCUCCCGGCCUCCCCCAGGGUACGCUCUCCCCCAAGAGCGAACACCAGCUUUGGGAUCGCCAGCAGCCACGUCUCUGCUUCUAGAUCUCUUUUUUUUUUCUUUGAGACUUAGUUGAUAGCUGUUUAAGGAAUUAUGUGGAGGAAAUCUCACCUCCGACCCCCGCCCCCGUUGAGCACGGCCGGCCAGGGUCGCUGGGUGGGCCAGGAGGAAAGAAAGGGGCGGGGAAGAAGCAGCAAUUUUACUUUAAAUUAAAAUGACACAAAAAUAUUUUUUCAACUCAGAUCUUUCUGAGACAUCCCCAGAAAGCGUUGCAAGCUGUGAUUACACCUAAUGUGAGAGCAUGAACUAAUUUAAGAGGUGAGAGCUGCAUAAUGAGGCUGCCUCCCGUGUAGCAGCCAAGACUGGCAGCUCUGGCGGCGCGCUGGAGGGGACCGGGAGGGGCACCCUUGUAGAACCAGUCCCUGGCGCCCUGGGAUCUUCUCAGUGCCCUGGCGCUGUGUUGUCGGUCACUCCACAGAUAUUACAGGGUGCCUCCUGAAUGCCGGGUUGCAAUCAAGAGCAAGAGAUGGGGCGAGUGAAAGAGCCUGUUUUCAGGAGCUCAGCAUCAGGAUGACGAUUACCUAGAGGGAGGUGGUGGCCAGCCUCCCCCUCUUCUCUUCAUGCUGAGGCUCUGGUGGGCAGUGCCCAAGCCUGAACUGCCAUCUGUAUGCCAGUGGUUACCCAACUUGUAUUUUCAGUCUUAGCCUCUCUCUGGUCCAGACUUGUCAUUCUAAGGGCCCUUUUUCACUGACUCACAUUGUCUCCUCCCUCCCUGCCUUCCAAACUCAGCCUUUUCCUUUUUCCCUUUCCCACUGACAACAGCUGCACGACCCCCCCGCCCCCCCACGAGGUGAAAAUUCCCAAGAACCCCAUGUCUAACCUAACUCCCUCUCUAUGUCCUGUUGCUUGAGCCAUUCUCAUUAGGCUGCCUGUUCGGAGUUCAUUAUCUCCUAAUUUUUCAUCCAGGAAUUGAUGAAGAAUCACCUACUGCCUCUCCCACACACUGUUUAUUCUUUCAUUUGAUGAUAUCUGUUAAGUGCCCUGAGAUAUGUAACCUCCACUUCCCUCCCAUAUAAGUGAGAUUUCACGUUGAUUACUUCCUUGGCUUUCCUCAUCCCUUAUCCACAUAGCAUGUGUUCAAAAUAAUGAAUAUUAAUUUAAUGUUAAUAGAUAUGUGCUUUCCUGAAUUGUGAGGAUUAAAUGAAAUCAUGUAUAUAGGGAGGAAAAUCCAUUAGAAACCUCAAAAGCAGUUAUGUUUAUUUUUGCUAUUGUCACAUUGUUAGAGUCAGAAUUCUUUUAGCUGCAAGUGACAAAACCAACUCAAACUGGCUUAAGGACUUUAUUGGUUGAUGCAAAAAGCCUCGGGUUAGGUCUUGCCAUUUAAGGUAGGGCUGGAUCCAUCAAUCCGGGUUACCAGGAUCUGUUUUCUAGUUGUGGCUUCAUUUUCAGACAAGUUGUUUCCAUAUGAUAGCCUCAUAGAAGGUACUACCAGCUUAGUCCUAGCAAGAAAAAAGAGUACUUACUCUUCAAUAUUUGCAGCAGAAGUCCCAGGUCUGUUCUUAUGAGGGCAGUUUGAGUCACUUGCUCUUCUCUGAACGUGGAGAAGGCACUGUUUAGAUGAUGGAGGUUGGAUUCAGGUGCAUCCCCUGGAAUGGGGUUUGGCAUUAGCUUCACGUGGUCUAGAAUAAAGGGGUUCUCCAAAGGAAAAUUAGGGUAGGAAUGCUGAGUAAGCAGAACAAACAGAUGUCUACUUUAGUCCUUCCCAAAGGGUGAGCUGCAAUACAUUGCAGACUAUCAGAAUGGUGAUGAACACGGAUGCAGUAGCCAAGAAAAUAGAUGUGUGUUUGUCGUGGUCUUUUUCAGUCUUCAAGAUCUCAGUUAAACAUGAAGUCAACCACUCACUAUGAUGUUAUUUGAGGUUUAGCUUUGAAGUGGAAAUGUACCACAAAUAGUAGAGCCAGAUAAAUACAAAUAAAUAAUUUUAACAGUCCAUUCUAAAAGAUUUCUUUGGUAAUAUUCUGUUGGAAUUGAUUUCUAUCUUUUCAUUUGUUAGGUUCCUGGAAAGUGAAAAUUUCAUUUCUUUGUGGACAGGUACCUAAAAUGUCUCAUUAUUCAUCAAUUAAUGAAAAACAAAUGAAAAUUUGAGAGAGAUAUUCUGAAGAAUAAAAGGAUCAAGUUGGGUCAUUUCUAAAAUCUCAGAGACCUAAUAGGAUGGGGUCUUAGAGAAACAUCUUUUGAGCCACAGACUUCUUUGUUACCAGAAGGAAAAUGAAAGAAGAAAUUUAAAUACCACUUGAAGAGAGCUGAUCGCCACCAACUGGCCUCUGGGUGGAUUUGGCCAAUGGAAGCACCUGUAGAGGGAAGAGAGUGAGGUUAGGAUAUUUCUUCCUGCUGUCUCCGUGCUUCCCUGCAGAGAGUGUGAAGAAAUGACCCUGAAAAGCCUCUGGCAGAGGAUUCUUCUUUCAGGAUGGUGUCGCCUCCUCAGCAGCCCAUCCUCCUCCCCUGGACUCAAGCUCUCAUUCCAGUAACACUCCUUCCUCCUUCUCCAUCUUCAGGGGGAGGUUUGCCAGUCGGUGGGUUCUAAGCAUAUCUCGCUGAUUCCCCCCAACCCUGCCGACACCUCUGUAGGUCGUCCCUUCAUUAAAAUCUCUCCAUUUGAACUAUCUGAGUUUAAUUCCAUUUCCUCCUGGUAUCUCAGUGAUACACGGUAUCAGUACAAAAAUCUCGCUUCACCUUCAGAACCAACAGAUUUGAGACAUUUUAUCCUCUGUGGAACCAUUAGUUAUUUUGUCAUUGGUUGUAUCAGAAAAAAAAAUCAGGAAUGCAAAUCCUUCUUUAUUACAGAUUCAGAUUUGCAUAUUACCAAUGUUAUAUAUUUUAAACAAAACUAUUCAUCAUAAGUUUUAAAAAUUAACUACUGGAGUAGUUAAUGAAUCUGAAUGUAAUUAUGUAGCUUUCAUAAUAUUAAAGUAAAAAUACUAAAAGAAGUAUUUCUUAAAGAAGCAAAUGCUCAAUCUCCAAGUAAAUUUUAUUCUAUGCUCUUCCGGUAUAAGAAUAUGUUAAUAUCUUGAAAAAUAUCAUAUUAUUUUGUGAACUCAUAAAGCUAUUUUGAGUUUUUGUAAAAUGAAAACCUUACCAAAAUGUAUUUUAUUGUUGGAAAGCUUGACCGUUACUGCUGUUUAAUUUUUUGAGCUUGUAAACUUUAUUUGUGCAUGUUUUCAACAAAGAAGGAUUUUAUUGUUAUUACAUAAAACAGGUGAUUUCUAGAUUUUAAAAUCACAAAUUGAAAGCAAGGCACAAUAAUAUAUAUUUCAAGAUAUAGGUACUUAGGAGGCAUCCUUUUAGUCAUCUGUUCAAUGUAGCCAUCUAUUUUACACCUACUGUCUACUAUUGUUUGAGGUCCUUGCCAAAGUAUUGCAGGCUAGUUAGGAAACAUAAAACAAUUAGAAAGUAAUCUAUGACAAGUAAGCUAUCUAUAAAUGGCAAUGAAGGGUAGAACAAAUUCAAUGAAAAUAUCUAUUUAAUCCUAGUGUUUACUGGUCUAGAAGAAUAGGCUGAGUAAAUUAGUAUUUCUCUGGCUGUUGUGGUAACACAUUGCAUGCUAUAACAGUUUUAAGUAAUUACAGGUGCAUUGAAAUUUAUCUAUGGCUUUGUCAUCAUAUUCUAAAAUGUCAUGAGUACUUUUUUCUGACCUCAAUUACUAUGAAAUUGGUUUCCAAUAUUUAAUUAACCAAGAAUAUCAAGUCUAUAGGGUAUUAUUAAGGUGAGACUUCUGUAGCCUUUUCAAUAAAGACCAGAAUUUUGGAGUGCCUUGAACCUUAAUCAUUGAUCUUUAAUUCUUAUUAAGUCAACUGCCCACCUUUUAAAGACUGAGGCCCAGGAAGAGUAAGUUUCUCUGAGACAAUGCAUACAGUACAGUGCUUCUUGGGUAUUGGCUCUAAGACCAGAUGCAAAGAAAGGCUAAAAUCCCAUUUCAUUGUUCAUUAGGUGAGAACCCUUUGUUAAGCUGUGUAACCUCUGUGCAUAGUUUCCUCAUCAGCAAAGUCAGAAAAAGUAUGUACCUGAAGGACUGAUUGUAAGGCUGGGAUGAGAGAAUCCAUGUGAUCAGCCCUCACCAACAGGUGCUGCCCAGUUCAUGAGUGCUGCUGCUGUCCUGCCCAAGUACCCAGCUUGCAGAGUGCCAGAGUUAGAGUCCCAGGGGUGUUCUCCACAGCUGCAUGCUUGAUCCAGGCCUAUCAGGUGUUAUUUGUUGACGGAACCAGGCAUCAUCAGCAAACAAAACUGACAAAGCUUCCUGCCCUCUGUGGAAGGCAUCUGAGGAAGAGACUGGAUUUUGUAGCAACAUGUUAUUCUCAUUAUAAACUUUAUCAUUGGAAUACUAAAGCCAAAUCAUCCCCCAUCUCCUUGAUCAGGAUACCCACUUAAUCUAGGCAGCUACACAAUUGUGAGAGCCUUUGUUUUUUUCUGCUGAAACAUCCUUAAAAAGAUACCUCACAACCCAAGAUUUGGCUUUUCUUAAAUACGAUUUUUAAUUUUUUUCAUUUCUAUCUAGAGAUUUAAUUGGAAAUGGAAAAUCAUCAAUUUUCCAAUUAAAUGUCUGUUCCAAUCAACAUUAUACCUUUUAGGUUGUCAUUGUCAUUUUUAAGUUUAAGCAACUUUAAGGAUUUUGAAUCUGGCUGCCUGUAAAUUAAAGGUGAAAGUAAUCA